RNAcentral lists this ribosomal RNA (382 nucleotides) under uncultured eukaryote. RNAcentral describes it as "SSU rRNA". It matches the Rfam family "Eukaryotic small subunit ribosomal RNA", at positions 587 to 972 of the family's 1831-position model. The record is from RNAcentral.
AGCUCCAAUAGCGUAUACUAAAGUUGUUGCAGUUAAAAGCUCGUAGUUGAAUUUCUGGUCGUGAAACGUGGUCCGUUCCGCGAGGAAUGUGUACUGUCGAUUUAUGUCCAUCCUCGGAGUUAGUGUGCAUUACUUUAAUCGGUCGUGUACACAACCUCCGUCAUUUACUGUGAGCAAAAUAGAGUGUUCAAAGCAGGCUUAUGCCGUUGAAUAUAUUAGCAUGGAAUAAUAAGAUAUGACUUUGGUCUAUUUUGUUGGUUUGCACUCCAAAGUAAUGAUUAAUAGGGAUAGUUGGGGGUAUUCGUAUUCAAUUGUCAGAGGUGAAAUUCUUGGAUUUAUGGAAGACGAACUACUGCGAAAGCAUUUACCAAGGAUGUUUUCA